This 738-nucleotide ribosomal RNA is filed under the name Cervonema sp. 2 TJP-2019. Its description in RNAcentral is "SSU rRNA". It matches the Rfam family "Eukaryotic small subunit ribosomal RNA", at positions 132 to 874 of the family's 1831-position model. The record is from RNAcentral. Lineage: Eukaryota; Metazoa; Nematoda; Chromadorea; Araeolaimida; Comesomatidae.
GACUUACUUGGAUAACUGUGGUAAUUCUAGAGCUAAUACACGCAAUAAAGCUCUGACCUUUUGGGAUGAGCGCAUUUAUUAGAACAAAACCAAUCAGACUUCGGUCUGUUGUUUGGUGACUCUGAAUAACUCUGCAGAUCGCAUGGUCUAGCACCGGCGAUGUAUCUUUCAAGUGUCUGCCUUAUCAACUGUCGAUGGUAGUUUAUGUGCCUACCAUGGUUGUAACGGGUAACGGAGAAUAAGGGUUCGACUCCGGAGAGGGAGCCUGAGAAACGGCUACCACAUCCAAGGAAGGCAGCAGGCGCGCAAAUUACCCAUUCUCAGCGCGAGGAGGUAGUGACGAAAAAUAACGAGACGGAUCUCUUUGAGGUCCGUUAUCGGAAUGAGAACAAUCUAAAUCCUUUAACGAGGAUCUAGCGGAGGGCAAGUCUGGUGCCAGCAGCCGCGGUAAUUCCAGCUCUGCAGGUGUAUAUCUAUGCUGCUGAGGUUAAAAAGCUCGUAGUUGGAUCUGCGCGCUCGGAACUGGUUGGCUCUCUGAGCUGUACUGGUCUCUGGUGCUUUUUUGCUGGUUUUCCCUUGAUGCUCUUAACCGGGUGUCUUGGGUGGCUAGUGGGUUUACUUUGAAAAAAUUAGAGUGCUCAAAACAGGCGUAAUGCCUUGAAUAGUGGUGCAUGGAAUAAUAGAAUAGGACCUCGGUUCUGUUUUGUUGGUUUUGGGAGCUUGAGGUAAUGAUUAAGA